Molecule: regulatory RNA element, 100 nt
Rfam family: Pyrrolysine insertion sequence mttB
Source: Rfam
AUGACGGACAGCAAGCUGCCUGACAUGCAAUCUGGUGGCGAAAAGGGGUAUACGGUGUCUCUUGCCGCUCAUGCAGGGGCCUCGAUGAUCCACGAAUCUG